Long non-coding RNA from Daphnia magna, 539 nucleotides. RefSeq lists it as uncharacterized. The record is from RefSeq and is a predicted model, not a curated record. NCBI's taxonomy places the organism in Eukaryota, Metazoa, Arthropoda, Branchiopoda, Diplostraca, Daphniidae. The transcript has 2 exons.
ACUUAAAAUCCUCCCACUUUUCCAUAAGUGAAGUAAGCCCGACUUUCUUGUAAAAAAAAAAUAACUGUUUCCUCCAAGUCAAAUUGAACUAAAUUUUCGUCAUUGUCGUUGAAUUUUGAAUGCAAAUCAUGUAAUUUUAUAGCAAAAGCCGAUUUUAUCCGAAAUAAUUCGUCUGCUUGAGAAAAGAGAAAUAGUUACGGUGUGUAAGAGCACUUACAAUGCCGGGCUGUAAACUGCAACCAGUGACAACAAGCCAAGUAGACGUAUAAAAAAAAAAAAAAGAAGAUGAAUAGUUAAUCUGCUUUAGGAGUCGCGUUGACUAAGUACGUGAAAACAAAUGUUUUACUAUGCUGAUCAAUUGAUUCCUCAUUCUGCAGGUCUUGCCUUUAUUGUCUAAUAUUUAAAAAUGUUGGUAGUGAAAAAAACUUCGUUGUGGCUUUAUGAGAAACCAAGAUCCCUUUCUCAAAUGGAAAGAGACUUUGCUGGACAGGUAUAUGUCGACUAAACACAUGAAGUUCUCAUGUGAUUGAUUAAUAGUU